CUAUAGACUGUAUAAUUUAUUAAAAUUCAAGGACUAAAGGUUGUUCUAUUGUGCAACUGAUCUUGUUAUUAUUUGAGUUCUAAAGAUAUAAUUUUAAUAGCUAGAACUGAGCAGAAGAAUCAAUAAUGAGAAUGGAAAAGCAAAGGAAUUAAAUUCCAAGGUCAAUUAUUUGAGGAUUACUCUCCUUAUAACAAAAGGAAGAAUAAUAAUCCCGAUAAUUACUUCAAUCCCAUUAUUAAAAGGAAAGGAAGCCAAGAUAGAUAUUAAGCUCAAAGGAAUAAAGACGACAAAAUCCUCCUAAUGCCAACUUGGCUAAAGGAGAUGACUUAUCUAUCGUAGUUUUCUUCGAGAGGUGAGCAUGAUUAAUUAUAUUCUAGUGAGGAAAGGAAAAUAGUUUUUUUUCUUUGGUAAUUCUUGUUCUACACCAAUCUCAGAUAAGGAAUAUAUUCUUCUCAAACUUACUUAUGGGAAAAUCUUCUCACGAGUAAUAUAUUCUAUGUGCCUAAAAUACAAUACAAUUUGAUUUAUAUCUUUGUAUUGGGCAAGGCAUGAAUGUGUUUGUUAGUAAAUUGAUGGGUGUAGCAGACACACAACUAAAAUGAAAUUGAGAAAUAAUGAGACACAGAAUCACACAGGGACACCAGAAAUUACGUGGGUCGACUUUUAGCCUACGUCCACAGGCAAAGACAGAAUGAAAAUAUUUUACUAGUGAUAUGAGGAUUACAAGUAUUGUAAUAUUUUGGCUCACUUUCCAGAACCCCAAUACACCCAAUCUCUCACUCACUAAUUACACAAGAGUAUUAGAACUCUUAAUUUUUCCUCUCUUACAAAAGAUUGAUAACUAAAGAAUGGAAUGAUUGAAGAGCGGAAUGAAGUCUCU
RNAcentral lists this long non-coding RNA (880 nucleotides) under Citrus sinensis (sweet orange). RNAcentral describes it as "long non-coding RNA (CSIN_LNC003064)". Lineage: Eukaryota; Viridiplantae; Streptophyta; Magnoliopsida; Sapindales; Rutaceae. The record is from RNAcentral.